GGUGGAUCGGGGGACGUCGGGGUCGGCGUCGGAGGGGAGGAAGUCGGGGAGGGAGAGGGGGGAGACGGCGCGGAUGAAGGGUACGCCGGCAUCAUUGCAGGAGAUGUGGAUGGAGGCAUCAGGGAGGGUGGUGAGGCGGCCGGCAAGGGCAGGGAAAUGGGAGAGAGCGCGGGAGAGGGAGCGGGUGAGGAGGGAGAGAAGAGGGUGGAGCGGGAGUGGGGGAGGCGGCAAGAAGAGGCCCUUUUGGAUGUAGUGACACGAAAGCAUGGGGAGGUCGGAGACAGAGAGUCGGAGGGGACCGAUGGUCGAGGAGGAGUCGGGGUAGACAGUGUGUGUGGAGAUGAUGGUGG
This 350-nucleotide unclassified non-coding RNA is filed under the name Hevea brasiliensis (rubber tree). The record is from RNAcentral. Lineage: Eukaryota; Viridiplantae; Streptophyta; Magnoliopsida; Malpighiales; Euphorbiaceae.